GAUUAACGCUGGCGGCGUGCAUAACACAUGCAAGUCGAACGAUGAAACUUUACUGACUUCUUCGGAAUGAUUUAAAGCGGAUUAGUGGCGAACGGGGGAGUAACGCGUGAGUAACCUGCCUUACACAAGGGGAUAGCCUCUGGAUACGGAGAAUAAUACACUAUGAAACCAGACAAUCGCAUGAUAAUCUGGUCAAAAUGUUUAGUGGUGUAAGAUGGACUUGAGUAUGAUUAGCUAGUUGGAGAGAUAACAGCUCACCAAGGCAACGAACAGUAGCUGGCACUAGAGAACGGACGGCACCACUGGGACUGGGACAAGGCCCGGAUUCCGAACGAAGGGAGCAGUGGGGAAUUAGGAACACCGCGUGAAAGCCGGAGGCAGCGGGGCUGCGUGAUUUAGAAGUCCGUAGGGUAGUAAAAAUCGUUUGUAUCGGAAGAAAAUGACAGUACUAUACGAAUAAGGACCGGCUAAUUACGUG
RNAcentral lists this ribosomal RNA (478 nucleotides) under uncultured bacterium. RNAcentral's name for it is "partial 16S ribosomal RNA". It matches the Rfam family "Bacterial small subunit ribosomal RNA", at positions 28 to 507 of the family's 1533-position model. The record is from RNAcentral.